Small nuclear RNA from Pseudophryne corroboree (corroboree frog), 103 nucleotides. NCBI's taxonomy places the organism in Eukaryota, Metazoa, Chordata, Amphibia, Anura, Myobatrachidae. The record is from RefSeq and is a predicted model, not a curated record.
UUGCUUCAGCAGCAAAUAUACUGAAAUUGGAACGAUACAGUGAAGAUUAGCAUGGCCCCUGUGUAAGAAUGCCACGCAAAUUCGUGAGGCAUUCCAUUAUUUU